GACCUAACCUAGGGGAGCCGCUUGCGGCUGAGAAAUGACAACCGUCAUGACCCUUAAUACUUGAUCCAGACCAUGCUGGCGAAAGGAAGGAAACAACGCAUUCG
RNAcentral lists this non-coding RNA (104 nucleotides) under Methylobacillus flagellatus. RNAcentral's name for it is "TPP sequence". It matches the Rfam family "TPP riboswitch aptamer (THI element)". Rfam says of the family: Vitamin B(1) in its active form thiamin pyrophosphate (TPP) is an essential coenzyme that is synthesised by coupling of pyrimidine and thiazole moieties in bacteria. The previously detected thiamin-regulatory element, thi box was extended, resulting in a new, highly conserved RNA secondary structure, the THI element, which is widely distributed in eubacteria and also occurs in some archaea. The record is from RNAcentral. RNAcentral also lists the same sequence under 1 other name. Lineage: Bacteria; Pseudomonadati; Pseudomonadota; Betaproteobacteria; Nitrosomonadales; Methylophilaceae.